RNAcentral lists this ribosomal RNA (503 nucleotides) under uncultured Bacteroidota bacterium. Its description in RNAcentral is "bacterial SSU rRNA". It matches the Rfam family "Bacterial small subunit ribosomal RNA", at positions 8 to 507 of the family's 1533-position model. The record is from RNAcentral. Lineage: Bacteria; Pseudomonadati; Bacteroidota.
AGAGUUUGAUCCUGGCUCAGGAUGAACGCUAGCGGCAGGCCUAACACAUGCAAGUCGAGGGGUAACAGGGUAGCAAUAUCGCUGACGACCGGCGCACGGGUGAGUAACGCGUAUGCAACCUUCCGUUUAACUGGGGGAUAGCCCGGAGAAAUUCGGAUUAAUACCCCAUAAGAUCAUAGAAAGGCAUCUUUCAGUGAUUAAAGCUCCGGCGGUUAAAGAUGGGCAUGCGUGCCAUUAGCUAGUUGGUGAGGUAACGGCUCACCAAGGCUACGAUGGUUAGGGGGUCUGAGAGGAUGAUCCCCCACACUGGUACUGAGACACGGACCAGACUCCUACGGGAGGCAGCAGUGAGGAAUAUUGGGCAAUGGGCGCAAGCCUGACCCAGCCAUGCCGCGUGAAGGAUGAAUGCCCUACGGGUUGUAAACUUCUUUUGUACGGGACGAAACUCUUGGUCGUGACCAGGAUUGACGGUACCGUGCGAAUAAGCAUCGGCUAACUCCGUG